Molecule: small nucleolar RNA, 79 nt
Organism: Pogoniulus pusillus (Red-fronted tinkerbird)
Lineage: Eukaryota; Metazoa; Chordata; Aves; Piciformes; Lybiidae
Product: small nucleolar RNA MBII-202
Exons: 1
Source: RefSeq, a predicted model, not a curated record
GAUGAGACGUCUCCGGAAUCGCUGCACCACCUUGAUGAUUCCCUUGAACCCGUCUGCCUGAUGACUGUGGCUGUUGUGU